GACGUAGGGGGCCAGCGUUGUCCGGAAUUAUUGGGCGUAAAGAGCUCGUAGGCGGUCUGUCGCGUCGGUCGUGAAAACUUGGGGCUUAACCCUGAGCUUGCGGUCGAUACGGGCAUGACUGGAGUUCGGCAGGGGAGACUGGAAUUCCUGGUGUAGCGGUGAAAUGCGCAGAUAUCAGGAGGAACACCGGUGGCGAAGGCGGGUCUCUGGGCCGAUACUGACGCUGAGGAGCGAAAGCGUGGGGAGCGAACAGG
This 254-nucleotide ribosomal RNA is filed under the name uncultured bacterium. Its description in RNAcentral is "partial 16S ribosomal RNA". It matches the Rfam family "Bacterial small subunit ribosomal RNA", at positions 524 to 776 of the family's 1533-position model. The record is from RNAcentral.